ACAGGUGGUUAUUGUGGAGGUGUUACACCCGUUCCCUUUCCGAACACGGAAGUUAAGCCCGCUUACGCCGAUGAUACUUGGCCUUAAGGCCCGGGAAAGUAGGCAGCUGCCUGUU
This 115-nucleotide ribosomal RNA is filed under the name Spirochaetaceae bacterium. Lineage: Bacteria; Pseudomonadati; Spirochaetota; Spirochaetia; Spirochaetales; Spirochaetaceae. The record is from RNAcentral.